This 460-nucleotide ribosomal RNA is filed under the name uncultured bacterium. Its description in RNAcentral is "partial 16S ribosomal RNA". It matches the Rfam family "Bacterial small subunit ribosomal RNA", at positions 338 to 795 of the family's 1533-position model. The record is from RNAcentral.
CCUACGGGAGGCAGCAGUGAGGAAUAUUGGUCAAUGGACGAGAGUCUGAACCAGCCAAGUAGCGUGAAGGAUGACUGCCCUAUGGGUUGUAAACUUCUUUUAUAUGGGAAUAAAACAGGGUAUGCAUACCCUCUUGUAUGUACCAUAUGAAUGAGGAUCGGCUAACUCCGUGCCAGCAGCCGCGGUAAUACGGAGGAUCCGAGCGUUAUCCGGAUUUAUUGGGUUUAAAGGGAGCGUAGGUGGAUUGUUAAGUCAGUUGUGAAAGUUUGCGGCUCAACCGUAAAAUUGCAGUUGAAACUGGCAGUCUUGAGUACAGUAGAGGUGGGCGGAAUUCGUGGUGUAGCGGUGAAAUGCUUAGAUAUCACGAAGAACUCCGAUUGCGAAGGCAGCUUACUGGACUGCAACUGACACUGAUGCUCGAAAGUGUGGGUAUCAAACAGGAUUAGAUACCCUGGUAGUC